This is a long non-coding RNA of Salvelinus fontinalis (brook trout), 1394 nucleotides long. RefSeq lists it as uncharacterized. Lineage: Eukaryota; Metazoa; Chordata; Actinopteri; Salmoniformes; Salmonidae. The transcript is spliced from 2 exons. The record is from RefSeq and is a predicted model, not a curated record.
UUGUACACUGAUUUAUUCCAGGAAUGAAGGACUCGUCUGAAUAACUCAUUCCAUAUUAUUAGUGUGGUUCGCUGGGUUCUGAGAAAUGUCCACGAUUUUGUGAAAUCUGCCCAUCUGUGAAACGCGCUUGAAAUACAGACGACCUGGAACAUGCCCAGAAUGUUCACGUGACAGUGUGUCGUGAAGAAUCAGGAUGGACAUUGCUAUGAAAUGUGUGCAAGCGCCAGACAGAAGAGACUGAGCAAAAUAAACGUUGUUCACAAGGUACAGAUGUUGACAGAGGCGAGAGGGUAAAUUCUCGAAACAAUUUGUUUCACCUUCGGAUACAGAGUUCUGCUGGAGGAUUUAGCACUCUGUCAAAUAGCUAAGUUGCUAGCUAGCUAACGUUUGCUAGUCCCCCUUCCUACUAGGAAACGUUAGCUAGCUAGCAUUAGGUAAAGCCUAAAAUGUAUUUUUGAAUAUAGAAAUGAUGCUAGAGGAUUUAGCACGAGUUCAUAUUUAGCAUGAUAUAGUUAGCUAGUGUGAUGGCUAGUUAGCUUUGCUAGCUAGCAAACGUUAGGUGCCAGCUAGAAAGCCAACAUCAACAUGACAGAAUUUCCAUGUGUUUAGCUGGCGUUUUUGGAUUAGUAUGCUAGCUAGCUAGUUAUCUAACCUUUAAACUCAGGUAGCUUUGUCUAGGUAGGUAGCUGACAAGUUAGCUAGUUAGCAUCCUUUGUCAGAAAACUAGUGGUUCCAUUUUUAAGAAUAACGUACUGUAAUGAAACAGCAGGGAGCAGGUUUCAAACCCUCGACAUUCUAGCCCGAGGUCCGGCCCGCUAUCGACUGCCACAAAAGCAUGCUCGUGCGACAGAGUCGAUUUCCGUGUUUAUAAACCCAGGGUCGUUACACUACUCCCUCCUUUCAAAGAGCGCGUCCUCGCGACUCUACGUCUUACAGGAACGCGCUCACCGGCCAAGCACACGCACUGUCGUGGAUGCAAGGUCCGAUCACUUCUGACACCAGUGUAAUGAAACAGCAGGGAGUAGGUCUCGAACCCUUGACCUUCUAGCCCCAGAUCCCUCAGACUCCAGGAUGGGAAAAUGCUUAUGUAACGGAUGUGAAAUGGCUAGCGAGGGGACAGUUUAAAGUUAUACUGUUACACUUAACAAGAAAGAAAAAGAUGGAGACACAGAAGGAGACCAUGAGACCCGCUGUUUUAUUUUAAAUCGUUAAUCUGUUGACAUUUUAUAUUCUGACUUGUAACAUUAAUGUUAAAAAGGGUAGAAAAAGACACCCCCUGUUUAUUUAAAUUAGCUAGGCUACUCACUAUACCAAUGAUAGGCUACAGAUUUGAGUCACUGCGAUUAAAAUUGUUUCCCCAAUGUAUCUUUCUAUUAAAUUACAUUUUGUUCUUA